This 775-nucleotide ribosomal RNA is filed under the name uncultured Neocallimastigales. RNAcentral's name for it is "partial large subunit ribosomal RNA". It matches the Rfam family "Eukaryotic large subunit ribosomal RNA", at positions 23 to 645 of the family's 3401-position model. Lineage: Eukaryota; Fungi; Neocallimastigomycota; Neocallimastigomycetes; Neocallimastigales. The record is from RNAcentral.
AGAGAGAGACAUGCGCGCAUAUCAAUAAGCGGAGGAAAAGAAACUAACAAGGAUUCCCUUAGUAACGGCGAGUGAAGCGGGAAGAGCUCAAAUUUGAAAUCUUCAAGGUUUUACCUUGACGAAUUGUAGUUUAAAGGAGUGUUUUCUGCUGAAGUUUUGGUAAUAGUUCUUUGGAAUAGGACAUCAUAGAGGGUGAGAAUCCCGUAUUUGACCAUUAUUUUCAGCUUUGUGAUACACUUUCAGAGAGUCGGAUUGUUUGGGAAUGCAGUCCAAAAUGGGUGGUAAAUUUCAUCUAAAGCUAAAUAUUGGCGAGAGACCGAUAGCGAACAAGUACCGUGAGGGAAAGAUGAAAAGAACUUUGAAAAGAGAGUUAAACAGUACGUGAAAUUGUCAAAAGGGAAGCGUUUGACACCAGUGUUGUUUUCUCGAAAAUCAAUUAAAAAUGGCUCGAUUUUGUAUUGUUGAGACCUUAAAAGCUCACUGUACAUUUUUCGUGUCUUUUUUAAUGCACUUUUCGUUUAACAAGUCAACAUCAGUUUCUUUUGUUGUAAAAGGGUCAUUGGAAGGUGGCUUUCUUUUCGGAGAAAGUGUUUAUAGCCUUUGGCCUCUGCAAUCGGAAGAGACUGAGGUCUGCAGCGUAGACUCUUCGGGGUUAGAUACAUUUGUGCUAAGUUAUAGCUUUUUAUAGACAACUUGUUGACUAUAAUUAGUCUUGUAGCUUACUCGCUUAUGCUAUUUUACCUACGCUUAGGAUGUUGAAGUCAUCGUAUCGCGC